This 200-nucleotide unclassified non-coding RNA is filed under the name soil metagenome. RNAcentral's name for it is "partial contains internal transcribed spacer 2 and large subunit ribosomal RNA". The record is from RNAcentral.
GAGCGCUGCUGGUCUUCGGACGUAGCUCGUUCGUAAUAUAUUAGCAUCUCUAAUAUUCGAAACCGGAUUGACUUAGUGUAAUAGACUAUUCGCUAAGGACACUUUUACGAGUGGCCGGAGGAGAAACUGUAGAAGCUUCCAAUCAAGUAGUCAACUUUAGAUUAGACCUCAGAUCAGGCAGGAUUACCCGCUGAACUUAA